GCUAGGAUGAACGCUGGCGGCGUGCUUAACACAUGCAAGUCGAACGGAGUUUUUAAACGGAAGUUUUCGGAUGGAAGUUUAGAAACUUAGUGGCGGACGGGUGAGUAACGCGUGGGUAACCUGCCUCAUACAGGGGGAUAACAGUUAGAAAUGACUGCUAACACCGCAUAAUAUAGCGAAACCGCAUGAUUUUUGCUAUCAAAUAUUUAUAGGUAUGAGAUGGGCCCGCGUCUGAUUAGCUAGUUGGUGGGGUAAAAGCCUACCAAGGCGACGAUCAGUAGCCGGCUUGAGAGAGUGACCGGCCACAUUGGGACUGAGACACGGCCCAAACUCCUACGGGAGGCAGCAGUGGGGAAUAUUGGACAAUGGGGGAAACCCUGAUCCAGCCGACGCCGCGUGAGUGAAGAAGUAUUUCGGUAUGUAAAGCUCUGUCAGCAGGGAAGAUAAUGACAGUACCUGACUAAGAAGCCCCGGCUAACUACGUGCCAGCCGCCGC
This 496-nucleotide ribosomal RNA is filed under the name uncultured bacterium. Its description in RNAcentral is "bacterial SSU rRNA". It matches the Rfam family "Bacterial small subunit ribosomal RNA", at positions 26 to 518 of the family's 1533-position model. The record is from RNAcentral.